Gavialis gangeticus (Gharial) is the source of this 486-nucleotide long non-coding RNA. RefSeq lists it as uncharacterized. NCBI's taxonomy places the organism in Eukaryota, Metazoa, Chordata, Crocodylia, Gavialidae. The record is from RefSeq and is a predicted model, not a curated record. The transcript has 2 exons.
GGUUGGAAAUUAGGAAGACUGCUCUGAUGAUGAAAGUGGUUAAGUAUUGGAACAUGUUACAUAGUAUCUGAAACAAUGGAAGCAGAAGAGUUCAUCUAGAGAGCCCAUAGAGGCGAAGAGGAGGGGCAGAGGACACAUCUUGAAGGAUUCUAGGAGGUGGGAUAUGGCAGGAGGAGAGCAAGAUAAGGUGAUACUACAGGAUGUAAUCAGCAAGGUGGUAGUGCAGCUAUAGUAUUUCUUCCAUUCUUACCUCAGUGUCGGCUGCCUCUAACAGCGCUGACCUAUGUUUUUCUCCACCUGCACUUCAUCUGCUUGACAACCUGCUUCAGACAAGUUGUGGUAAAACAUAGGAAGUGCUCAUUCCAGUUUAACUGAGAGAGUGCUUGUUCAAGCAAGGAAAAUGCAGCUGGUGACCUCGCUGAGAGUGGUUUUGGCUAAGUGGAGGAGACAGAAGCCUCAGUGGAGAGUUCAAGAAGAAAGUUUUAA